AUGAGCUCCGAGAAGGGCGGCGGAGUAAUCCUGGUCACCUUGCGGAGCCUCUUUACGCUGGACAAUGCUACUCGCAUUGCCAGUGUGGAGCUGUGGGUGCUGCUGACGACGGUGCUGCUGGUGUGGAGGUUCGUCCUCGACUUCUCCGGGCCAUGGUUCGGGAAGCCGAGCAGGAUGUUCCAAGUCCUGACCUUGGAGAUACUGACCCAAAACCUGGUGAUCUACACCAUCGGACUGAUGCAGCUAUCAGGCGCGAGGGUGAACGACUACUUCCAGGUGUGGGCGGUCCUGCUGGUGACCCUGCAGUACAGCGUCAAGAUCGGGCGCCCCUACAGCCGGUCCAAGCAGAUCCCGUUGCUGGACCUCAUGUCCUCCUUCUGGGCAGCCAAUCUCCUCCGGGUGCAGACCUUCUACCUCCUCAGGAUCCCCCUCUGGCUGAUCUGGUCCCUGAAUGUGGUUCGCAUCAUCGUGCUCUUCGUCACCUCCGGUAAAGCGGAGACUCAUAGCCAAGAGAGCAUGAGGCUGGUGAACGACUACAUGAGCUAUGAGGACAGGCUCCCUCCUGCUGCUGACCUUGCGGUGUCAUCCAUGAGUGGCCGCAAGUACCUGGUGCACGGGGAACACCGGGUGCUCAAGGAAGUACAGGAGGGCCGGCGGCGGGAGGGAUCUUGUUUCAGACGGAAGAGGGUAACAAAGCAGGCUGGCAGGAGCUACAAGAUUGAGUUGAAACCAGAUGGAGACCACAGCAAUCACUUCGUCACCGUGGAGAAGAUAUGGAGUCACACCAGCGGGAGUGGGUUGCUGGGAGCCGCUGCAGACCCGCGUGGAGAGCGCAAGGACCUGUGCCUCUCGUUCGCGCUCUACAAGCUGCUGCGCCGUCGGUUCUUCGACCUCCCGGUGCAUGAAGCGACCAGGCCGCGGGGGAAAGACAAGAUCCGCGAGCUCGUCUUCGGCUACAUCCUCGCGGACUGCGAGAGGGCGUUCCGCAUCACGGGGGUGGAGCUGUCCUUCCUCCAGGACCUCUUCCACAGCAAGCACGCCACCGUGUUCGCCGGCGGCCUCAUGGUCCCGCUCCGGAGCCUGCUGCUGUCGCUGGCCAUGGCCGCCGCGACGGGGUACAUCGCCUAUACCGCCCGGUACAUACCGGAGAGGAUGGAUCCAGCGGACCGGAACAGGAUCACGCACGGCGUGUUCGUCACGCGCGUCAUGGUCGGCAUCAUCAUUCUCAAGGAGCUCCUGGAGAUCUUUCUCUACGUGUCGUCGCGGUGGGCCAAGGUCCUGCUGCUGUGCAAGUACGCCCAGCAUCAUCAGUGCUGGCGGCAUCCGGUGGUGGAGAGGGCGAUGACGCUCGUGCUGUUUCUCGGCAGGAAAGCCGAGUGGAGCCAGCAGACGAUCGGUCAGCAGAACCUUCUGGUCACAUUCCAUGUGCCGAGGCCAGGCGUGCCGCCUCUGUUUACAUGGACGAAGGUACUCCGUCGAGGGGUGGCCACUGGGACGACGACCCUGGAGGACCACACCAAGACUGCGAUACUAGAUUCGCUCAGGAACUUGAAGGACGGGCAGCUGGGCAGCUACUUCUCAAACGCAUUCGAAUCAAACAAGAGGGUGAAGUGGCCAAGCAACCUCAAGCUCAAGGCAGACACCCACAUCAUACUGGUCUGGCACAUCGCGACCGGCCUCUGCGAGAUCAGCUUCUUCAGCGAGGUGAAGGGGCUCACCGCCGUGCGGCGACCGCGGCCUUUCGUAGUUGAUUCUGCGUGGUCUCGGCACUACGCAACCGCGGCCAGUUUAUCCAACUACUGUGCGUAUCUGGUGAGGAAGGCGCUGGUGCCGGACAACCCCAUUGUUGCCGGAAUGGUGCUUGAUGAGGUGAUCAAAGAACUCGACUACGUCGUCUCCAAAUCCAGUACCAUGGAACUGGAAGGUGUGUACCAUAGGCUUAUGAAGAUAGUCCCCAAGCCCUGCAAGGAUCACGAUCAGAGCUGGAGCUGGGGCCCUGACGACGUGGAAGCAGCGACACCCAUGGAAGUCGAUCAAGCGGACCGAAGAAAAGGCUACAAAGAUCUCCACAUUGGGUGCUCCAUAACAAGGAUGGGCGCGGUGCUCGGGAAACACCUGACGGAGGCGUAUGAAGGCGACGCCGCAGGCUUGUGGAGGGACCUGGCCAGCUUCUGGACCGGCUUCCUCCUCCACUUGGCCGUGAACACGAGGGCGGUCAUGCACGGGAGGCAUCUCGCCGGCGACAGCGAGCUCAUCACACACCUGUGGGCGCUGCUCUCGCACGCCUGCUUUAGUGGGAACGCCGUCCAUGGGGAGGAGGGCCCGGACCUGGAGGGCGUCCCUAAUUUCGACACGGUAGUUAACCAGCAGGCAACCUGA
This 2379-nucleotide ribosomal RNA is filed under the name Triticum aestivum (bread wheat). RNAcentral's name for it is "partial small subunit ribosomal RNA". The record is from RNAcentral. Lineage: Eukaryota; Viridiplantae; Streptophyta; Magnoliopsida; Poales; Poaceae.